Molecule: microRNA precursor, 60 nt
Filed under: Panagrellus redivivus
Lineage: Eukaryota; Metazoa; Nematoda; Chromadorea; Rhabditida; Panagrolaimidae
Description: microRNA prd-mir-35b precursor
Gene: prd-mir-35b
Source: miRBase by way of RNAcentral
AACUAGUACGCUCUGUGGUAAAAGUGAUUUUGAAAACUUUCACCGGGAACGUAUUAGUUA